This 105-nucleotide small nucleolar RNA is filed under the name Setaria italica (foxtail millet). RNAcentral describes it as "Small nucleolar RNA Z247". It matches the Rfam family "Small nucleolar RNA Z247". Rfam says of the family: Z247 is a member of the C/D class of snoRNA which contain the C (UGAUGA) and D (CUGA) box motifs. Most of the members of the box C/D family function in directing site-specific 2'-O-methylation of substrate RNAs. Lineage: Eukaryota; Viridiplantae; Streptophyta; Magnoliopsida; Poales; Poaceae. RNAcentral also lists the same sequence under 1 other name. The record is from Rfam by way of RNAcentral.
AAGCUUGAUGAUGACGAUGUCAUUGAUUAUAUCCUGAACGGGUUAGAUGCUGACUAUAAUCCGUUUGUAUCCUCCAUGUGCGUCAACGAUAAUGUCAGCUUGAGU